AAUAAAGUGCCUGAUAAAAGGGUUAUCUUGAUAGGAUAAAUCAUAUACAAUUUUUGUAUCUUUAUUA
Molecule: transfer RNA, 67 nt
Filed under: Prolachesilla sp. PrspLA
Lineage: Eukaryota; Metazoa; Arthropoda; Insecta; Psocodea; Lachesillidae
Description: tRNA-Ile
Source: RNAcentral